CCAGAUCCUCUUACGUGAAUGCGAACAUUACCAUCCGAACGCGAAUCACCAGAUUAAGACCUUAUGCGAACGCAGAAUCUCAACCAUGAACACAAAGAGCAAAAUACCUGCCUUCCAAAAUACUUCUACGCGAUCGCGAGGGACAUCACACGAUCGCGAAGGCCAAAAUUUCUCUGCAACUGCUGCUGCAAUUUCUACAAUCUUCCAAGUCUCAUAACUUCCCGUUAUCCAUUCGAAAUUAUCUCGAGGUCCCCGGGACCUCAAUAAAAAGUACCAGCACAUCCUAAAAACUCAUAAAAACUUGUUCCAAUCAUCACAACACCUCAAACAAUACCAAAUCUAUCAAUUCACAUCGAGUUCAAGCCUAAGUUUUCUAAAACGUCCGAAAUAUGCUUUCGACCAAAAAUCCAACCAAGCCACGUCCAAAUGACCUAAC
Molecule: long non-coding RNA, 436 nt
Filed under: Nicotiana benthamiana
Lineage: Eukaryota; Viridiplantae; Streptophyta; Magnoliopsida; Solanales; Solanaceae
Description: long non-coding RNA (NBEN_LNC036794)
Source: RNAcentral